This 506-nucleotide small RNA is filed under the name Pan troglodytes (chimpanzee). RNAcentral describes it as "retained intron". The record is from RNAcentral. Lineage: Eukaryota; Metazoa; Chordata; Mammalia; Primates; Hominidae.
CACAUCUCAGCACGGGCAUAUAAUUUGUGUGGCCCUGUGCUAGGAACCUGGAGUAGAGCGUGUGCUCCGAGAUCUUCGCGUCUUCCGGAUCUUUGAGGGGACAAAUGACAUUCUUCGGCUGUUUGUGGCUCUGCAGGGCUGUAUGGUAAGAGAGAGAAUUGGGUGGGGGUAGAGGUGGGGAGGACAGUGAGUCCUGACUGCUGGACCCUCUUCCCCCAUAGGACAAAGGAAAGGAGCUCUCUGGGCUUGGCAGUGCUCUAAAGAAUCCCUUUGGGAAUGCUGGCCUCCUGCUAGGAGAGGCAGGCAAACAGCUGAGGCGGUAGGCUUAGGGCCAGAGCCAGGGGAGGGCAGGGUGGUGUAUGGCAACUAACCAGUCAUUCUCCCUCUUCCUCUCAGGCGGGCAGGGCUGGGCAGCGGCCUGAGUCUCAGUGGACUUGUCCACCCAGAGUUGAGUCGGAGCGGCGAGCUGGCAGUACAGGCUCUGGAGCAGUUUGCCACUGUGGUGG